UCUAAACCAAUAAUUAAAUCACU
Molecule: small nuclear RNA, 23 nt
Filed under: Arabidopsis thaliana (thale cress)
Lineage: Eukaryota; Viridiplantae; Streptophyta; Magnoliopsida; Brassicales; Brassicaceae
Description: snRNA_02244
Source: RNAcentral